GGUUAUGGCUCAGGGGUAGAGCACUUGCCUCACAUGUGUGAGGCACUGGGUUCUAUUCUCAGCACCA
RNAcentral lists this transfer RNA (67 nucleotides) under Marmota monax (woodchuck). RNAcentral's name for it is "tRNA.Val". The record is from RNAcentral. Lineage: Eukaryota; Metazoa; Chordata; Mammalia; Rodentia; Sciuridae.